UACGUAGGGGGCGAGCGUUGUCCGGAAUCAUUGGGCGUAAAGAGCUCGUAGGCGGUUCAGUAAGUCGGCUGUGAAAUUCCGAGGCUCAACCUCGGAACUGCAGUCGAUACUGCUGUGACUCGAGUCCGGUAGAGGAGAAUGGAAUUCCCGGUGUAGCGGUGAAAUGCGCAGAUAUCGGGAGGAACACCAGUAGCGAAGGCGGUUCUCUGGGCCGGUACUGACGCUGAGGAGCGAAAGCGUGGGGAGCAAACAGG
RNAcentral lists this ribosomal RNA (254 nucleotides) under uncultured bacterium. Its description in RNAcentral is "partial 16S ribosomal RNA". It matches the Rfam family "Bacterial small subunit ribosomal RNA", at positions 524 to 776 of the family's 1533-position model. The record is from RNAcentral.